ACGCUCGACACCUACUGGAGGCAGCAGUGGGGAAUAUUGCACAAUGGGGGAAACCCUGAUGCAGCGACGCCGCGUGAGCGAAGAAGUAUUUCGGUAUGUAAAGCUCUAUCAGCAGGGAAGAAACUGACGGUACCUGACUAAGAAGCACCGGCUAAAUACGUGCCAGCAGCCGNGGUAAUCUGAGCGGGCUGGCAAGGC
RNAcentral lists this ribosomal RNA (198 nucleotides) under uncultured bacterium. Its description in RNAcentral is "partial 16S ribosomal RNA". It matches the Rfam family "Bacterial small subunit ribosomal RNA", at positions 328 to 539 of the family's 1533-position model. The record is from RNAcentral.